RNAcentral lists this ribosomal RNA (861 nucleotides) under Triticum aestivum (bread wheat). RNAcentral's name for it is "partial small subunit ribosomal RNA". Lineage: Eukaryota; Viridiplantae; Streptophyta; Magnoliopsida; Poales; Poaceae. The record is from RNAcentral.
AUGGCCGCGCCCGCCCUCCUUUCCCUCUCCCCCGCCGUAUCCAGGCACCCCCACCCCCUCUUCUCCCACACCCACUCGCCUCGCCACCUCCGCCUCACCCCUCNNNNCGCCUCUUCCUCCCCCUCCCCCUCCCCCUCGCCGGCCGGCGGCGGCGGCGGCGUCUUCCUCUCGCCGAGCGCGCUCUCGCAGCUCGACGCGCUCGCCGCUUUCCGCUACGAGCACUCCUUCCCCCACGGCAGCCUCACCGUGCGGGCCCUCACCCCGGCCGACGACGCCGAGGCCGACGUGCUCGUCCGCCUCCUCGCCUCCUCCUUCUCCGAGGACGUCAGGUGGGCCCCCGCGCAGCGCUACGCCCAGCUCCUCGCCUUCGUCAUCCGCCGCUACCUCUACGAGCGCCGCGGCCUCGCGCCCCACGCUGCCGUUCUGGUGGGUUUCUACAAGCCCGCCGCCGCGGAAGAAGGGGAGGAGGGCGAAGACGACGGGGAUGAGGGGGAGAUGGCGUGCACCGCCGAGGUGUCGCUGGACGCGGUGGGCGCCCCCGGGGCACCGCCCACGCCCACACCGCCGCUCGAGUUCCCUUACAUCUGCAACAUGACCGUGAAGACCUCGUUGAGGAGGAGAGGAAUUGGAAAACAACUUCUUAAGGCAUGUGAGGAUCUGGUUGUCAAGAUGGAUGCAAAAACGCGUGUAUAUCUUCAUUGUAGAAUAAUUGAUGAAGUGCCGUUCAACAUGUACAUAAAAGCAGGAUACGACAUUGUUCAGACUGACAGUAUCCUUGUUUGGCUGAGCCUCCAGAAGCGCAAGCACUUGAUGCGCAAGGAAUUACCCCAAGUUUCUGUUGGUAGUGAUGUACAACCUUAG